UACGUAGGGGGCUAGCGUUGCUCGGAAUUACUGGGCGUAAAGCGCACGUAGGCGGCUUUCUAAGUCGGGGGUGAAAUCCUGGAGCUCAACUCCAGAACUGCCUUCGAUACUGGGAAGCUUGAAUCCGGGAGAGGGAUGUGGAAUUCCAGGUGUAGCGGUGAAAUGCGUAGAUAUCUGGAGGAACACCGGUGGCGAAGGCGGCAUCCUGGACCGGUAUUGACGCUGAGGCGCGAAAGCCAGGGGAGCAAACGGG
Molecule: ribosomal RNA, 253 nt
Filed under: uncultured bacterium
Lineage: Bacteria
Description: partial 16S ribosomal RNA
Rfam family: Bacterial small subunit ribosomal RNA
Source: RNAcentral